CUUCCCUGCAUUAACCAUUCCGUGCCUGAAGUUGAAUCGCCUCUUUCUCUGCUGGAAUGUCAGAGGCACACAGACGCCAGCUCUCCAGGGUGCAGAUAACUGGCAGCAUCUCUCCAGGGUGCAGAUAACCUGGUCUCAAAGCUGGAGAAACUGAGUCAGAAGGCGGGGAAGUGACUUGCCCAAGAUCACCCAGCUGGGCUGAUUUAUGCCAGCUGAGGAGUUGUCCCCUCUCAAGUACAAGUAUCCUGCCAGACGUGCAAGGCCUGAGGCCUGGCAGAUCAAGAAGGAGCCUGUAUCUCUCCCAGUGGAUGCUGGACUGGAGAAGAAGACGAUACCUCGAGCCCUAGCUGCGCGCCACCCAGAGUCUCCUUCAACAUCCUCCCGUGUGGCGCUUUCGCAUUCCAGCAGCCGGUCGCCACGGCCCUCCUCUCCCCGUCACGGCCUGCGCAGAACCUGGAGCACCAGCUCAGGCACCGUCCAUCUCAAGCCUGCCCCGGGCCCAUCUUUAGCAGAGGCGGAGGUGAGCCAGUCUUGGGGGAGACAACAGGCACUACGAUGCUCAGUCACCAUCAGCGGCUGUGGAACAGGGAAGGGCCCGGUGCGGCGCUCAGCUGAGGCCGUGUUCUCAGCUCUGGUUGGCAAGGCCAAAAAAAGAGAAGAAAUCUUUCCAGGAGGCUGGCAAGUCUCUGACAUGUCGGAUGAUCAGCCUCCUCCGCUGCCAGGAGAGAGCGCGGUCACUCCGUGCUCUGCCUGCUGAGCUGGGACUGUGCUCCCUGCAGCUGGCUGGCCUGUCCUCUGCAUCAGUAGGCGGCUUUUGCUUCUCCGGCUGGUAACCUUCAUUCCUAAAGACCGGACUGGGCUAUGGUCUCCUGAUGGGCCCCCGAAGGGGCUCCAGUGGAGCCAGCGGGUGGGACCGACAGCAGAAUUUGACCCUUUAACUGAUGCGUCUCCUGUGAGAGCCCGGUGCCUCCACCACAGCUGUUGCCCGCGUUCACGCCCAUCAGCUCGUGGGCCUUGGUGUAAGAAGAGAACUGUCUUUUCCUAUAGCUUCUGUAUGGAGCUAUAGGAAGAGACGCUGCGCUAGAGGGACCAUCCAGUCCGGCCGUUCCUGUGCUCUGAGGCUGGGAAAAGUGGGACCCCCCCAUCCACGUAACAGCAGCAGUGGAAGCAGCAAUGAAAUACCUGAGCCCUGUCCCUCUGCAGCUCCCCCACUUGCUCUCCCCGGCACCGAAUCAUAGGUUCUGCCUUUGCCCGCGCCGUCAAGGCCCUCGUGAGCCCGGUUUCGCUGGGGGUGGGCGUCUCUCUGGGCCGUGCCAGGGCUGUGCAGGGUUAUUCAGGAUUGCUGCCGGGA
Long non-coding RNA from Mauremys reevesii (Reeves's turtle), 1351 nucleotides. RefSeq lists it as uncharacterized. NCBI's taxonomy places the organism in Eukaryota, Metazoa, Chordata, Testudines, Geoemydidae. The transcript has 4 exons. The record is from RefSeq and is a predicted model, not a curated record.